ACCAGCUCCAUCCUAUCCAGAAUGUAUAGUUGUUUUUGUUUUUUGUUUUGUUUUCUUUUUCGUUAACUCCAAUAGUAUAAAUACAAAGUAAACUAUUUGGUGCGGCUGGGUGUGUUAUAUUUCGUUCGUAACGGUGAAUUGUUUCUUUGUUUCUUCAGGCAUUUGAUUGGUUCUGACAAAGACAAAAUAGAAAGAAGAAAAGAAAAAGAAAAGCGGAGAAUUUUGUGACGUUUAGGGUUUCGCCAGAUGUUUGAAACAGUAACACGGAAUAUCAAUUAAAGAUGAUAAGUACACGUACCUCGCAGAACCAUUGACAGCAGAGUUAUCUAUCCAUUAACAUCGUCAACUGAUGUGGUUGGAAUUGUAAUACCAGAAAAUGAGCAAGUAAAUAUUUUAUUUAUUCUGUACUAAUUAUGUUAUAGCAAUAUAUGUUUUAUAAAUAUUCAUUUCACAUUAAACCCCGAUCUGCUUUAAGUAUGAACAUUAAGUAAGAAAAGAAAAGAAAACAAAGCAAAAUACUCGUAAUACUGUAACGCCUACCUAAAUACUAGAACCUAAAUUGGUUUGUCUUGCGGAAGGGAAAAAGGUAUUUCGAAAUUUCCUCUUCCUUGCUCGUUUCCUGUAGGAGAUGCACUGGCUUUCGUUCAUUAAGAUUACAUCGAUUUUGUAUAUUGGGCAUUUAGAAAAAAAAAAAGAAAAAAAGUAAAGAUUAGCUUCAUUGACAAAAUAAAAACUUAUAAAAAUAGGUUUUCACGUAUAUUUUAUUUGUAUAUGAUGUAUACAAAGAUUUAUAAUUAUGUGUAUAGAUAAUUUCACACGUUUAUAUACAUCUUGACUUAUUUUAACCCUAACCCAAACGAAACGUUACUGUGUGUGUCAGAAAUAUUCUAGCACUUGUCAAAAGUGAUGAGAGCACUUAAGCUCUUUUGUUUUCAUUCCAGCUGAGAUGCAUUUAUGUUAGUUAUUUAUUUUACUAGUGGGUACCAGUUGUGAAUACACAUAGUUAAUGAUAUACCGUAAACUAUAUCGACAGAGAUAAACGGAUUUAAACAUCGACUGUUUUUUAUCAUUUCAUAAUACGCACACACAUGUGCAGCUAAAGUUAUGCGAAUUUCUCUUUAGUAAAGAAUAUGUUAGCGUCGCCACGAAAUUCAGAUGUAAGUGAAAGUACUAUUAUUGUACUGUUGUGUUUGUCAGGACGACGGACAGAAAUGCAGACACUAUGAAUUAGUAAAUUUUACAUAUCUUCAUACAUAUGCCAGUUAUAUAGACAAAUAUAAUAUAAUAUAUAUAUAUAUAUUGAAUUAUUAAAAUAUGGCCUACAUUUUUUAUAUAAUGUAUAUAAUUGAUUUCCUCUUUUUAAUUGUUUUUUUAAGUAAGCUAAGAUUUGUUGUUUCGCUUGGUACCAACCAAUAAGGUAAUGUACACGUAAGGGAAAUAAUGUCGUUUGUAGAAUUUACAUGCUUUGAUGUGGUCGUCUGACCUGCUAGAAAUGUCAGCAUGACUUCCUUUUAAUUACUUAUACCCUUACGACUACACGCGCAUCACCGUACCUGAAAGUUUGUUGAGAAGGAACAAAGUGAAAAAUAGUUCCUAACUACAGAUUUUGUUACAUAUAUAACAUGUAUGUACACGAUAUAUAUAUAUAAAAGAAAGAAAAAGAAAACAAAAAAAGCAUCAGUGCAACCAAGCGCUUCAGUUGGUCUCACGGUUUAUAAACAUUCAUUUAAUCCAUUCGGCAGUUUCGGAGAUAAAAUUUCAAAGGGAAAAUUAAAUUAGAUUAAAUGUAUUUCGGGAUUACUAGGUCGUGUAAUAAGCAUAUUCACAAACCAAAGAGUGAGCCUCUAUGUGGUGUCUCCACUUGCGAGAAAUGGUAGCCAAAUUUCCAUCAAAUUAUACCUUACCGUCUUAGAAGAGAUGGAAUACUUACAGCUGGAAUGCUUUACAUCAUAUGGUCAGUUAUGGUUGACGGGACGACUACGACAGAGACAGUGUGGGUGUGACUGUUGUCGUUGCCAGUGAGGAGGAUCCAAAGCAUGGUUAUUUGCUAGUUCGUGUAAUAAGCGUAUUCUUUUCUACUCUAGGCACAAGGCCCGAAAUUUUGAGGGAGGGAACCAGUCGAUUAGAUCGAUCCAAGUACGCUACUAGUACGUAAUUUAUCGAUCUCGAAAGGAUGAAAGGAAAGGCGGAAUUUGGACUCAGAACAUAAAGAUAGACGAAAUACCUAUUUCUUUAUUACCCACAAGUGGCUAAACAUAGAGGGGACAAACAUGGACAGACAUAGGUAUUAAGUCGAUUAUAUCGACCCCAGUGCUUAACUGGUACUUAAUUUAUCGACCCCGAAAUACCGCUUAGCAUUUCGCCCGGCGUGCUAAAGUUUCUUAUUUCUUUAUUGCUAAAUAUAGAGGGGACAAACAACGACAGACAAAGGGAUUAAGUCGAUUACAUCGACCCCAGUGCGUAACUGGUACUUAGUUUAUCGACCCCGAAAGGCUGAAAGGCAAAGUCGACCUCGGCGGAAUUUGAACUCAGAACGUAACGGCAGACGAAAUGCCUAUUUCUUUACUACCCACAAGGGGCUAAACACAGAGGGGACAAACACGGACAGACAAACGGAUUAAGUCGAUUAUAUCGACUCCAGUGCGUAACUGGUACUUAUUUGAUCGACCCCGAAAGGAUGAACGGCAAAGUUGACCUCGGCGGAAUUUAAACUCAGAACGUAACGGCAUACGAAAUACUGCUAAGCAUUUUGCCCGGCGUGCUUACGUUUCUGCCGCCAGCUCGCCGCCUUCGUGUAAUAAGCAUAUUGACAAACCAAAGAGGGAGCCUCUACGUAGUGUCUUCACUUGCGAUAAAUAGUAGCCAAAUCUCCAUCAAAUUAUACCUUACUGUAUUAGAAUUUCUUCUCAGUUAUGGUUGACGGGGGAUAACAACGACAGAGGCAGUGUGAGAGUGACUGUCGUCGUUGCCAAAGCCAGUGAUAACUAGCAAAUAACCAAAGCAUGGUUAUUUAUUCUAUGAAUCAUAUAUAAGUAAUUAUUCAAUUUGGUUAGAUUAAAAAAGCAAAUAAAAUUAAGGGGGAAAUGAGUCAACUUUUUACACAACAUAAACACUGGUGAAAUAUGACUUCCCUCAAAAAAUGAAGUGUAACGAACAGAUUUGCUUCUUUUACUACGCUUGCAGUGCCAUAAUCCAUCAGUAACGUCACCUCAUGUAGUAAGGCCACAUGGUAAAUUACAAUUUUCACAGGUGUACAAAUUCAUAAUUAGUCGACGCCGUGCCAACCACUGAAGAAUGUUGUCGCCUGCUUUUCCUAAUUGAAUGAUUAGUCCACGAUUCCUCUCUCUUAGAUUGAUUCGGGAAAUUCCUCCCCCCCCCCAUUUUCUCUCAAAUUUGUUUACCUUUUUAAUUAUUUUUGCCCCAAAACCCCCGUUUUUGAAAAUUGCCAGAAAAUUGCCAAAAAUGGCAUUGUUAAAUUCCCCCCUUCCCCAUCAAAUUUUUCAAUUUUGACUUUUUCCUCCAACACUAACCCUAAAACCCUGACCUUAAAACCCUAACCGUAACUACAGAAAUGUUUUGCAAUUUUUGUGCAAAUCAUAAUGUCUGUAUUUUCCCGCAUAUUUUGAAAAAAAAAAAUGUUUCUGAAAAGAAUUAAAAAUGAAGGAAAUGGGGUAGGGUGAGGUAAUUUAAAAAUGCCGAUUUUUGCUAAUUGUUUUUUUUUUGCAGAUUCGUCUUCCCCAUAGCUGUGUCGAAAAAAAAAAGAGAAAUUUUUUAAAAAGAGUGGUUUGGGUGGCGAAUGGGUGGAAGUCUCUUAAUUUUUAUUUACUUUUUUAAUCUAACCAAACUGAACAUUUACCAUGAUGAUUAUAUAUGAUUCAUAGAAUUGCAUGGGAUUCCCCAAAUCAGAUAUAAGUAUGCUAUGUUUUUAAUGUUUAGAAGCUAGUAUUUGAUUGAGGUUAUGGUGCUUGGAUUUUUCAAAUUAUUUGAAGCCAGCUGUUGCAAUGUGGUGGACUGAUCUUAUUGAAUACAGGAUCUAUCAUAUCAUUGUACUCAAUUCCCACCUUCACCGAACUAGCUGAAAAAAAAAUUGGGUUGCAAACCCAGCUUUAAUAGUUGCAAUUAUCAUGCUUCAGCUGUGUCGUUUAUUUUUAGAAAUAAACAAAUAAAAUAAAAUGUAAUUCAUGAUAGAAAAUUUUUCUUUGACUGCUUAAUAAAUUUGACAGUUUCUGUUGUCAGUUGUGAUUGAGCAGGCCUGUGAUUAGCCAUGUCCAUCCUAGGUAAUAGAUAAGUGGUUGGUGAGAGCUGUACAAGCCAUGUACAGGGAUGCUACCAGUAAGGUGAGGGUUGGCCAUGAGUACAGCAAAGGAUUUAGGGUACAAGUAGCUGUUCACCAAGGAUCAGUCCUCAUCCCCCUCAUGUUCAUCAUAGUCGUCUAGACAAUAGCAGGAGUUUAAGACAGGUUGCCCCUGGGAGCUCCUCUACACUGAUAACCGUGUUCUUUUAGCUGAGUCACUACCAGAACUAUAGAAGUUUCAAGUAUGGAGGCAAGGUCUAGAAUCGAAGGGCCUUAGAGUUAACCUUGCAAAAACCAAAGUCCUAGUAAGUAGGAGAGCAGACAACUCACAAAUCCUUUCAGAUAGAUAGCUCUGCUUGAUCUGUAGAAAAAGCAUAGGUAGAAACUCCAUAAGAUGUACCCAGCAUAAGAUGUACUAGAGGUGCAGCAAUAUCUGAGGAAGGUUAACAGGGAAAAUCAGCUUUUGUGUGUGGAAGAUGCACAGGUACAAUAAACACCAAAAAUGUACAGAAAAUAGACUCCAUCAACUGCCAGUGGGGUGUGCUAGAGAUAGUAGAUAGCUUCCAUUAUCUGGGAGACCAAGUUAGUUGUGGAGGUGGAUGCUCUGAGAGUGUAGCUCUAAGAAUAAGUCUAGGCUGGGCAAAGUUCAAGGAGCUCCUACCUCUGCUGGCAACAAAGGGUCUCUCCCUCAGAGUGGAAGGCAGAUUGUAUGAUGCCUGUGUGCAAACUAAGCUACACAGCAGUGAAACAUGGGCUGUGACAGCUGAGGACAUGCAUAGGCCUGAAAGAAAUGAAGUCAGUAUGCUUUGCUGGAUGUGCAAUGUCAGUGUGCAUGUUUGACAGAGUGUAAGCAUCUUGAGAGAAAAGUUGGGCAUAAGUGACAUCAGAUGUGUUGUACAAGAUAGACAACAGCAUUGUGUAAAAAAGUGCUGAUCUGUAACUGUCAUUGGAUCUUGUGAUUGCGGUAAACCCAGGAAGACAUGGGACAAGGUGGUGAAGCAUGAUCUUCAAACUUUGGCCCUCGCAGAGGCAAUGACUAGUGACCAAGACCUUUGACAAUAUGCUGUCCUUGGGAAGACCCAUCUCGCCAAGUGAACUAGUUGUGGCUUAUGCUGGUGUCAUGUAACCGGCACUCAUACUGGUGCCAUGUAAGAAGCACCUUUCAAGCAUUGGGCCUCACUGAGGCAACGUGGCUGAUGCCAGUGGCACAUGAAAAGCUCCUUUCGAGUCUUGGGCUUCAUGGUGGUAAUGACCCUGACCUUUGGCGUUGUCAGGCCUGAGACAAAGACCCAUCAAACUAAGUAAAACCACAGUCAUGGCAGAUACUGGUGUCACACAAAUGGCACCCAUGCCAGUAGCAUAUAAAAGCACACAUUACACUCAGUUGUUGGCUUUAGGGAGGGGAUCCAUUGGUAGAAACCAUGCCAAAUCAGACUGGAGUCUGGUGCAGCCUUCCAGCUUUCCAGCCUUGGUCAAACCAUUCAACACAUGCCAACAUGGACAAUGGAUGCUAAAAGUUUACUUGAUGUAUCCUUUAUCUUAUUUAAGACAAUGUGUUAUACAAGAGAAACUUAACUGUUAUUUCCACUCAGCAACAUUUUUCGAGAAGUGAGCUGCAUGAGACAUGGUUCAUUACUAGGCAGGCCACACUACUAAAAAAAAUUCAAGGUAAUUUUUCAUCAGGCAUACCAUUCAGAGCACCUAGCAAGUCACAAUUUGCCCAUAACAGUCAUAGAGGCUCAUUGGCUCUGUAAACCCAAGGUCUUGUGACUGUUUAAGAAAAUAAUACUUUGUAAAUACAAAAAAAAAAAAGUGAAAAGGCAAAAAAAACUGGUAAGGAAAGGUAAAACUAGAAUUCCAAAAUUUUGUUUACCAUUGACAUUCUGAACAAUGGUAUUACUUGAGCAUAAAAAGUUAGCAUGCAAACACAUACACACACAUUUUUGGUGCAGAAUGACUGAAUGGUUAAGACAUCUGCUUCACAACCAAGAGGGCCCAGAUUCAAUCCCAUUACAUGGCAAAUUGGACAAAGUCACUUUCUAUAACUUCAAGCUGCUCUAUACCAUGUAAGUGGAAUUGGGUAGACAAAAACUGCAUAGAGCCCUGUCAAGUAGACUGUACCUUUAAUUCAAAAGGUACAGCCUUAUCGCAAACAAUCUCAUGCUGGUUCUACUUAUGUAUUACAUUAUUGCAACUGUGUAAUACUGAUUCUACCCAUGUAUUACAUUAAGGGUAAACGUGUGUGUGUGUGCGCGCGCAGAAUGUUCUGUCACUUACAAGUUAAUAAUUAGGAGCAGGUAAUUCUAAUGAUUAAACUACUGAAUCUUCAUUGUCAACCAACAGAGAUCCACCACCAUAUAUUGUCAUUCAGUGCCCACUUUUUCAUGCAUGUGUGGGUCAAACAGAAUUUGCUCAGGCAAAUUCUCUAUAGCAGCUAGCCUUCCUGCCACCAGGCCUCACCUCUUUCCAAUAUUUUCUCUUAGCCAGACAUGUUUUAAAUGGAAGACUAGCUACAAACAACACUGCUUGUAUGAUGAUGAUGCUCAUUUACAAGGCAAUGAUACACACAUACACACGUGUGUGUAUGUGUGUAUGCAACAGGCUUCUUUGCUUUCAUCUACAAAAUCCACCCAGAAGGCUUUGGUAAGCCUGGGGCUCCUAUAGAAGACAUUUGCCCAAGGUGCUGCUCUGUGGGACUAAACUUGAGACCACAUAGUUUGGAGCCUAUCUUUGUAAUGUGUUUGUGUGUGUGUGUUUUAGGACACUGUAAGAUUCUUAUCAUUUCUGAUCUUAGUAACAUUGUAAGUUAUUCUGUUCUCUACUCUUUGGAAUUAAGCUAAUUUCUUCUGAAUUUUUGUAUUUACAGAAUAUUCAAGCAACUUUCUACACCAAAAAGAAAUGUUACUUUGUGGAAUGUAAGUCGCCUUGAUAAUCUUGAUUAUGUUACCAAAUACCCCUACUCUGUGCAGCAGUUGAGCCAUUUUUACUCACACUACAUGUUGAAACUGGUUUUAGCCACACAAACAGAGUUGUUUUAACAAAGCAAUGAAACUGAUUAAACUGAUGAUUUAUGACUAAAAUUCAUUAAUUUCCAACCAAAUACAAGUGGCCUUGCUUAUACACAUCAAGCAAAUCUAUUCCAUUAAUUAUGCCAGCUAAUUAAUUUAAAAAACUGUUUAUUUAUUUGAAUGUGUCUAAUGUUACCCUUUAUAGUUAUAAAGUUGUUUUUUCUCUCGGUAUUACUGUUUUUAUAAUUAUGAAUAUUUUUUUUGUGCAUGUCUGGGGUUAAUGAAAGAUCAAGAAUUCCAUGAAGGUCAAAAUGUCUGGGAAACCUUGACUUAGAGGGUCAGUUUUAUCAAGUUAAUUAAACAAACAAGAUAUUAUAGCCAAAGUUACAAUAUAUGUAAGGUUACGUUAUAAAGCUCAGACUGCAAUGUUAAAACUUCAAGCAUUGUGCCAGAUAUUUGUAGUCUUCCUUGGUAAGCUACAUUACUUUGUCUGCCUCAAAAUCAUAAAUGGCUGAUUAAUAAUUGGAAAUUUGUCCUCCUUCAAUAAUUCAUGAGUAUCUGUAAAAAAUUAAGUAUUUGAUAAAGUCAAAUGUGCUAUCCUUUAAGGGUUUAUGGGCAAACUGCAGCCAUAAGGCAUGCUUAACAAAAAAUUACCUUGAAUAUUUUUUACUUGUGCAGUCUGCUUCAUGAUAAGCCAUGUCUUGAAGAAGGUCGCUAUACCCAAGACAUGCCCAGGAGAGGUGGGGUCUAAGGGGUACAUGCACCCCCGCUCCUCAAGAAAAGAAAUGAGUCCUAAAUGGUAUUAUUGUGACCUUUUCUUUUGGAAUUGUAUUCCUUUCUGACCUUGUACCCUCCCUUAGGACCAUGCCUGCAUACCUGCUUUAAAGCAUGAGGUUACUGUAAAGGCAGGGUUAAUCUGUUGCCCAGUUUAGCACCAUUGUCUAUCCCACGUGAGCCAAUUAAGUCAAUUUUCUCCUUCUCAUAAAUUUCUGGCCCUCUGCUAAUAUGUGAGAAAUCAUUAUCUAAUGAAGCUGGAUAUUGUUUCAAGAUAGUGAGUGUGCAUGCAGCAUUUUCUUUUUUGUUCAGAUUUCUGAUUAUCUCACAGUUACAAAUAAGUCAAAUAUUUUACCUUUUUUUUUUUUUCAGGAAGAAAAAGAAUUUGAAAAGGAAGGCAAGAAGCUUGAAGAGUGAGUUAAUUGUUAUUGGUGUUGUUGUUUAGGAUUGGCCUUUGUCUUAUUUUCAAGUCUAUAGUGAAAAUCUCUGCUGUGUCAAUGAAAGGCUGAGCUUCCCAACUUGCAUUUUCUGUGUUAUACUGUCUUGUUAGAAAUGAUCGAAGCCAUUCACCUAAAUUUUUUGUUUCAGGUACAGUGAAUCUAGGGCUGCAUAAUCUUAAAGGAAAGCAUAUAUUGCAAUUCAAAAGAAGUUUGGCUAUUAUUUCUAGCUGGUCAAAUGACCAUGUAGAAGCUUUCUCAUAGGUUCAAGAGUGAGUUGAAUGUAUGUUUGCCAAUGAUUUAAAAAAAAAGAAAUGAAAGUUUUAAAUGAAACUUAAAUUAGUAGCAGCAUAGUUUGUUUAAAAUAUUGGUCAGUCACAGUCAGCUGUGUAAAUUGUAUGACAUCAACAGGUAUUUGAUAUAAUAAAUUGUUGAACUUUUAGAUAACCUUCAUCAGAUGUGAUUGGUUGACCCAUUCGAUGCUUGCCUAUUAUAAUUCAUCUCACAGAAUUGUUUCUCAAACGACAUGAGAAAAAGUUUGCUAUACAGCAAUUCUAUUUAGAGAAAGUGUGAUCCACAUACAUUUAUAGUAACCACUACCACCACCAGUUUCUUUUAAUUACCAUAUUUCCCAGUUUCUAAGAAGCUACAAUUGAUAAGACACACUUUAUAGUUAGGACAUUUAUGAUAAUUUAUAAAAAUAUCAGAGCUCUUUUGAAAAAUUAUCUAAUUCAGAACAAAGCAGUUGUGCAUUUACUAAAUCCAGUUCAGCAUAACCGGACAUACUUGCUAUCCAUAGGAUUUGUUUACAUUCCAUUUAACACCCCCACCCACUUCCCAACAGGCUUUUCAAAGUUGUUACCAAGUGCUGACUGUGAAAGUACAUGGCUGAAUGGUUAGAGUGUCAGGCUUACAAUCAUGAGGUAGUGCGUUUGAUUCCUGGACCGGGCUGUCUGCCCUGUUCUUGAGCAAGACACUUUAUUUCACAUUGCUCCAGUUCACUCAGCUAUAGAAUUGAGCUGUAAUGUCACUGGGGCCAAGCUCAAUUGGACUUUGCCUUUCCCUUGGAUAACAUUGGUGGUAUAGAGAGGGGCAGCUGGUAUUCAUGGGCAACUGCUGGUCUUCCAUAAAACAACCUUGCUCUGAUUUGUUCUUCGGAGGGGAACUUUCUUGAUGCAAUCUCAUGGUCAUUAAUGACCAAAGGGAAUCUUUACGCUCUACCUUUUACUAAGUGCUGACUACCUGUGCAUUCCUUAUUUCUUCUUGUCCUUCAUGGAAUUUAUGGUCAUCCUUGUGUCGAGCUACAGCAAUUUCAUUGAAUUUAUGAUCCUCAUAUUCACCUUCAUGUCCAUCCACUCCAGCUUUGUGCUUGUCUUCACUCCAGCUACACUAGCUUUGCAUUCAUCUUCAUGUCCAACUUUGAUACAAGAAGAUAAUGCUGCCUGAUUGACUCUCAGCACUACUGAAAAAACUGCAUUUCAACACUGGUAACAUCAAGGACAGGCUUCAAAAAAUUUGUUCUACCUCUGACAAAACUGCAGAAAAUUUCAUCACUGUUUAUAUACCCAUGCAGGACAUUUCCACUGAUGAAAGUCUGUGGAAAUUCAAGUGGCGGCUGAAAUUCAAGCAGUACAAUCCUAUCAAGUGUGCCUGUUUCAGGAUAAAAUUUCAUAAAGUGUGUCAGUCACCUGAUGCAGCCUGUGGCUAUACUUUGAUCCAUAAAAUAUACACUGGAGAAGAUAAAUUGGACAGUCCAGUAUCCACAAAUGUUGUCUUGUUGCUGAAUAACAAGUUGUUAGAUAAAGGAUUCAACAUUCAUAUGGACAACUAGUUUUCCAGUCCUGACUUCUUUCUUCGGCUGCAGGCAAGGAAAACAAAUGCCUGUGGGACUGUGUGCACCUUCAGGUAAAACAUGCCACCUGAACUUCACAAUGUGAAACUUUGCAAAGACAAAACUGUGUGCCACUUCACUGAUAAUAGCAUUGUUGCAUUGGUGUUGAGAGACAAUUAAAAUAUUUGUUUGCUGUCCAUGACACAUUCUACUGGCAUGUCCAACACUGGCAAACGAGACAGGGUUGGAAAUCCAGUAACGAAACCAACUGUUGUGUUGCUAUACAAUCACACAAUGGGUGGUGUCGAACAUUCUGAUCAACUGGCAUCAACACGGAAGUCAGUAUCCAAAUUUCUGAAAUAGUAUAUGUGGUGGAUAUAUAAAUUCGUUUUUGAUACAGCAAAUGCUUACAGUAUGGAAGAUGGACUAAAAUUCUGUAAGUUGCUUGUGAAACGAAUAAUAGAAGUUUCAGAUAUUCCACCAUAUUGAUCACAGGGGCAUCCACAGUCUGGCUCCUCCCCUUUGUUGGAUCAUCAAGAGACGUGGACAUUUCCCCACUUCAUUUCUGCCAAUAAAAAAAAAAGAAGUAUGUGCCAAAGUGAUGUGCUGUGUGUGUAGCGCACAGUAAUUACAAGACAAGAUAUAUAUGCAUAGACUGACUUCUUUUAUGUAUUACACCCUGUUUUCAAAUUUACCAUACCAAAGUUAGCUUUUGAUGCUUUCUUAAGCCAAUAUACCGUAAUUGUUUGACUUACACUUUUGGGUGAUCUUAUUCCUGUAGUAAUACUGUAGCAGCGUUCAGCACAGUAAUAAUAAUUUACAUACAUAAACAGUACUUACUUUAAAGUGGUUGACAUAAAUAUAUGCCAAACCGCUGUCACACACUGAGAGCUGAUCUCAGCCAAAAUGAUUACCACUAGUGCUGACUAAAGUCCUAAUAAACAACCUUUGCCAUGGGGUUCAACUAGCAGGCCAGUAGCAUACUUAACCAAUUGCUAAGCUGUAAUCUUUACAUAAGUGAGAUUUGUAACGGCUAAAAUUUAUUAGUAAACAUUAUGAUUUGUCUGAGUCAGCUGGUGUAACGAUAAAGUUUUGUUGUUAUUACGGCAAAUUGUAAGAUGUGAAAGAUGAACAAUGCAUGAAGUUUUAAGAAAGUAUUUAUUUACUGUUACAUUGAAAAACACCAUACUUCGACAGGCAGGUUGUGAUAAAUCCAAAAGCAUGCAAAGUAAAGUGUGUUUGUGUUUGUGUCCUCUUCAUUGUUUAGUAGUAGUAGUAGUAAUUACAGAGAGAGAUAGAAUGAUGUUGUAAGAGAACAGAAUUAGAGCUAGAGAGAAUUGUUGGGUGUUGUCUGACAACAAACUUCAUUUCUCCCUUUGACCAAAGUUCUAGCUGGUCUGCCAGACUUUGUCGUCACCGAAUUGACUGAACUUGUUGAGUCGUCACCGACUGUGACCAACUUGGUUGAGUCAUCACCAACUGGUGAUUAACUGAUUUUUGUUUGGGGUAUUCUUGCUUUUAUAACAAUCCAGAAUGAUAGACAUACCAUUGAAAACAAUAGAUUUAGUUGGUGGUCUUGUUAUCUCUAUUCUAGCUUUUGGUGAAAUAGAAGAGGUUAGAAAGGGUCAAGUGGUGAAGACAUUAUUUCGGCCUAGCUAAAGGCAUCUGGAAGAUGUAAAACUGCUGUCAGAAAAACCAUUGUUCCAUCAUGGGAAAAGUUCUGUUGCAGUGUUAAUUUAAAUUUGGGUAUGGUGAUGCAAGAUUCACUACAGAUUCUUAAGAUCUCUCGUGAAAAUUUUCAUCCUAUAACUUGUCCAUGACGUAAGAUUAAAAGAAAAAUUCAUGUCAUUGUUAACAUUUUUACAUUUUGUUCAGUUUUUUUAAUCACUCUCCUUAAACAUAAAAUAUCUCCUGUUUCUUUUAUAUUUCAGACUUGAGGAGACAUGUAGGAAACUUUACAAGGAUUCUAAAAAGUGCUCAGAGACAGCUUCAAGUGAGUAUUUAUAAUAUUUUACAUUUAUGCCUUGCAUCCAAUAUUAGGAAUAGUUAAAUUGAUGAAUUUUUCUAUUACUCAUGCUAGCAUGGAAAACGGAUGUUAAACGAUGAUGAUGAUGUGUUUAUAGUUUGUUAGGCAGGUAGGGGAACAAUGUCUAUUAUCAUCAGCAUUAUGGCAGUGAAUUGGCUGAAUGAACAUAAUCAUCAUCAUUUAAUGUCCAUGUUACAUGCUGGCAUAGGCUGGACAGUUUGACAGGAUCUGAUUGUUCCAAGGACUGCUCUGAGCUCUACUGUCUGAUCUGGUGUGGUUUCUAUGGCUGGAUGCCCUUCUUAAUACCAACCACUUGACAGUUUGUAUUGAGAUCUUUUCUCAUGCUACCAGCACUAGUGAGGUCACCAUGUAGCAUGCAAGACUAUGAACCCCAAAUGGUAGGGUUCAACUUUAUGCUAAGGGUUGAAGGAUGAAAGUAUGAAAGUAUGAGAGGAGGAGGUGGUGAACAGAGCAGUUCCUUGUUGUGGAGUAGCUACAUGGCUACUCAUAUUUAGAAGAGAGGGUGAGAAUGAUCAGUAAGCAUUCUGAAAAGAGAUAAAUAGUGGUGAUGAGGUAUCCAUGAAGAACAUGAGGGUAUGAAAUAAGUUAAAGUGAGUGAGGGCAGAUGAACUAGGAGUGUGAGUGUGAAUUUGCCAGAGUGCAUGACAGAUCAAGGGCUGGAGGAAUGGGAGAGGAGGGGAGAUGGACAACAACUGUAAAGAUUGUAUAUAGUUGAAGGAUAGAUGUAGGGCAUUAUAGACAAGUGGUGGUGCAUGACAAAUGAUGCAUGAGUUGGGGAAGAUAGAGGAAUGCAGAAGAGACUGGAGGGUGGGGAAAGAAUUGCCAAGCAGUAAUGAUGAUACAGUUGACAGGGAGAGAAGAAGAGGCAGGAAUAGUGAAUGAGGAGAGAUAAUUGGGUCCAGUGGCGAUGGGGAUGAAUCAGUGUAAUGUGUGAAUAGAGAGAAUAUUAAUGGAUGAAGAAUGGCUAACAGGUGAAAUGGUUCGGCUGGCAAACACGAUUGUUUACAGUAUGGAGUUACUGUUCUUUACGUUCUAAAUUCAAAUGCUACAAGGGUCAACUUUGCGUUUUCUCCUUCCUGAAUAAGUACUAAUCAAAUAUCUGGGUCAGUAUCCUUGUUAUAUAUCCUGCUCUGUAAUUUGAGACCAGAGAAAUCAUUAUCACUAUUAUCAAGAAUAAUGUAGCUUCUUUUCCAUGCAACUUUCUUAUUAAACUAGUUUUUUUUUAGUUUUUUUAAGCCUUACAAUAUGUUUCUGUUUCACAGGUCUGAGUAAAUGUGAACGGAGAAUCACACAAGAUUUAAUGGCCAGUACAUUAUGUAAAUCAGAAUCAAAAUUAAUGCAUCACUGUGAAGAGUGGGAUAAUUCAAUUGUUAAGUUGAACCUUCAUAUGCAAGAAAUGGUAAGUAAUUAAUUAACAUUUGAAUUAUUAUGAUCUAAAGAACAUGAGAUUAAAGAACAUGACAAAACGAUUUUAACUAGAACAAUUAACGCAAACCUUCCCUGUUUGGGUAUCAGUGAGGAUGAUACUUUUUUUAGCAUAUUACGGUUGUUGAGAAUUUACUCAAACAGACUCCUGUAUUUAGAUGUACGUAUUUGAUAUGUCAAGGAAAUGAAGCCAUUAAGCGGAGUCCCUCAUCAAUGACCAAUUCAAAUUAUUAUUCAUCUCUAUAGACAAUGCCCCAUUCUUCUAAACUACAUCCAAGAUUAGAUUUUUCCUUCAGCAUUAAAAAUUACUUCAACCUUGAACAACUUUUCAAAUCGUAAAUAUCUUUUACUCUAGAUGACAUUAAAAAAUAUCUAAGAUUCUUCAGUCACAAAAACUAAAACCAUUGUCUUUAUUUACAUUUGCUUUAGGGUUGAUGAAAUAAGUAUCCGUAGAACACUGGGGUCAAGGUAAUCAACAAACCCCUUCCCUAAAAAAAGUUCAGGCCUUGUACUUUUAGUAAAAAAAAUUAUUUCUACUUUUACUGGCAGUCAUCUCACUUCCUAAAUUUGGGUGUACCAAAGCUGACUAUAAGAAAUGUCACUCCUGUUUAACUUAACAAAUAACUCCUUGAAGAAAACAUAAAAAUAAGUCACGCUUCAUGAUUGUAUGGUUGACAUUCAAAAUAGAUAUAUCCAGAUAUAAAAUGAUUAACCUUAGUAUUUCAUAAAAUAUGUGUAUUUUCAAAACCUUGUUACUCAUACAGCCACAGGAAAUGUAAUUCAGAACUGUAAAGUCCUAAAAACAAUUGUUUUUAUGAUCUCUGUAAAGAAAUUGUUGGGAUUUUUUACGUUUCUUUUCUAAUCAUAAGUUUAGUAUUACUUAGUACAAUUUAAAGUGUUGUUAAGAGUUUUACAUGGGAAUAGUUUGUCUGACUUAUUUCUAUGGUUGACAGCUAUGCACAGCACAGUUACACAAUACUCUCUGUACUCCUGUUACUUAUAGUGGUAAACUGUAACUCUAUUGUGACCUUAGAUGAGGAUGUGAAUCAGUUGUUAAUAGUGCUUUGUUUAGUGAUACAGCACAGUAUCUGUAAUAUGAGAAAUUGUUGCCUAACACAUGCCAGUAUGGAAAACAGAUGUUAAAUGAUGAUGAUGCCAGCCUUUCAGAUAGUAAAACAGUAGAAUUUAAGCAAGCCUAUGAAUAUGUAUCGGUAAAUAGUAGAUAUCAGUAUUCCAUAAAGUGAAACUAGUUGAAAGCCAGAAAAGGGUGUUGUGAUGAGAGUUACAAUGCCCACCUUGAGCAUAAUCCUAUGAACCCCGAAAAAAUUAAAACAGAGGGUUACCUACUUGCAAACAAAUGUGGUAACAUGUAACAUUAUUGACUGAGGUUACCGUGGUCUUUUCCGUAGGCUUUUCUUCCCACGGAUAAACCUUAUCUGCUUCCCCCUUUACACUUUACAUCAUUACACUGUGAUACACGAUCCCUAUUGAUCGUUUUUUUUUCUUUUCCCUUUUACGAUCCCUUUUGGUCGAAAACCUAUCCCACCUUUUUUUUUUCUCUCCCCAAAAAAAGAAAAGCUCUACUUUGUAAUCUGUCUCAUCUGUGUGCAGCCCUGUGUGGCUAAUAAAGAAACACAUUUGUCUAUGUAUCUAUCUAUCUGUCUAUGUAUGUAUCUAUCUAUCUAUCUACCUAUCUAUCUACUUCUUUUAGUCAUUGAACUGCAGACCUGCUGGGUCAUGUUGAACUCCUUGAAGGAUUUAGUUGAACAAAUUGACCCCAGUACUUAUUUUUAAGCCUGGUACUUAUUCUAGAAGUCUCUUUGGCUGGAUCACUAAACAACAGGGGAUGUAAACAAACCAACACUGGGCGUCAAGCAGUGAUAAGGGACAAACACAUAGAUAUGCAUACAUAUAUGUAUGUGUGUAUGUAUAUAUUCUUAUAUCUGGGGAUGGUCAUCAUUUGCCAGUUAAACACACACACUUUUUAUUUGAUCUUCACUUUAGCCUUAUUAUUAUUAGUAGUAGUUUAUUUGUUGGAGUUCUUUCAUCGUGCAUUCUGUGACCACUUCAGUGACUUUCUUUUCCUCAUGUCAUCUCUUGUCCUGUCUAUUCCACGUGUGCGCGUGUGUGUGUGUGUGUGUGGCAAGCUCCUUUCAGUUCCUGUCUAAUAGAUCCACUCACAAAUCUUUGGUGACCCAUGGCUGUUGAAGACACUUACCUAAUUAGGAAGCAACUUCUUACCACACAGCCAUGCUGCAAUAGGCUCUGCACAAUUUCAGUGAAGAAAUUCCACUCACAAAUUAUUGGUUAACCUAAGACUAUGGAUUAAUCCAUAACCUUAGGUUGACCAGUAAUUUGCUAUACAACAUGAUCAAACUCAGAACCAUGUAGUUGCAAAUUGUUCUUAACCACAUAUGCUUGCUUGUGGUCAGUAGUUAGUUUACUGUCAAGAAGAAGUGAAGUUGGCACUUUGGGACAGAACCCUUCAUUAGAGAGUGAAACAUUAUUAGUAAAUUACAUAUAUGACAGAAAGAGCAAAAGAGAAAAAGCAUUGAUUGCUUCUGUUCAGAGAGUGAAUUUAUAUCUCUAUGCAACCACAUUUGUUAAAUCAUGCCAUUCAAUAAAUAAAUGAUGCAUUUGAAAAAAUAUGGACUUCAAUAUUUCAAAAUUUUUUCUUUUGUAAAAUUCUUUAAUUUCUUUUUUUUUACAUUGAUAGAAUUCCAACAUCCAAAAGACACUGGUGGAACCCGUCAAAAAGUAAAUAUAUUUUCUUCAACUUGUCUAUUAUUGUAAAUCUGAUGUUUCUGGUAUUUGUUAAUGUUGAAUUUUAAUAUUGGCACAAGGCCACAUACAAAAACAGGUGUGUGUGUGUGUGUGUGUGUGUUAAUGUGUACUGUGCAUUUCAGUCUCAAGGCUAGCUUUGCUAUUUGAGUACAGUCUUUGAUGCUGGUUUUUUUAGUGGAAAAAAAAAAGUGGCUUCUCUGCAAGUAUAUACAGUAGUUUUGUCUAUCACUAGCUUAUUAAUAUCUUGUUAAGUUGAUGUAUUUUGGGGAUACUUUUCGUGCUAUCUUUUGCCUAGAUAGAGCAUUUUGUAGUUGAGAGUAUCAACUAUAAUAUUGGGUUGUCCAGAAAGUUCAUGUCGAUUUUUAAAGGAAAGAAAAAGGUCAAUAAUAACUUGCCAUUACAUUUUUUAAUCAACCAAAUAUGAACCGUUUUGUUGCACAAUGCAUCUCCAUCUUUCCUUUAACUUCAAAAUACCCUCUUCCCAGAAUUGAGGUGGUUUCAUGACAAAGAAUUCAUCAAGGUAUCUUUUUACAUCAUCCAAGGAAUUGAAAUUUUUACCAUUAAGACUAUUCUGCAGAGACCUGAAUAAGUGGAAAUCCGAAGGAGCAAUAUCUGGUGAAUAUGGAUGGUGGGGUAGCACAUCCCAGCCGAGCUGCAGCAAUUUUUGUCUGGUUCCCGAAGCAUCAAGUGCCAAAAAUGAACUUUCUUAUCUUCCAUUUUAAAGGAUUUCAGAACUAACACAGGUUAUAGGAACAUAAACCUUUUUCCACGAAAAGAUAGCUUAAACUGUGCUCUAAAUGGUGUAGUCAAAUCCUAUUUUAUGGACUCAACCAUGUUAUAAAAUAAGUCAAAAGGUAAGCUAAUAUAAAUCAGCACGAACUUUCCGGACAACUCAAUAAAAUCUUAGUGGUAUUUGUGUUAACUCUGGAGAUAUCAAACUUAAUACAUGUUAGUAAUGCCAAAUUCACCUGAUUUUACUGAAGGUGGUUGAAUGAAAACUAUUUCCUCUUGUAAGAUGCAUUGCUGUUUCUUAUACAGUAAUAAGUCUCAACUUGUGGGUUACAAUAUAACCCGGAAUAUGUUGCAAAGUUUUUUUGAAAUAUUUUAUAAAACAUUAAAUGUUUAGGAGUGGCUGUGUGGUAAGUAGCUUGCUAACCAACCACAUGGUUCCGGAUUCAGUCCCACUGCGUGGCAUCUUGGGCAAGUGUCUUCUGCUAUAGUCCCAGGCCGACCAAUGCCUUGUGAGUGGAUUUGGUAGACGGAAACUGAAAGAAGCCUGUCGUAUAUAUGUAUAUAUAUAUGUAUGUGUUUGUGUGUCUGUGUUUGUCCCCUUAGCAUUGCUUGACAACCGAUGCUGGUGUGUUUACAUCCCCGUCACUUAGCGGUUCGGCAAAAGAGACCAAUAAAAUAAGUACUGGGCUUACAAAGAAUAAGUCCCGGGGUCGAUUUGCUCAACUAAAGGCGGUGCUCCAGCAUGGCCACAGUCAAAUGACUGAAACAAGUAAAAGAGUAAUACUAUUGAUAAAUGAUAGGCAUAAGAGCUACAGUACAACAUUCACUGCAAAUGAAAACAAGAAUAUUUCCUCUGCAAAAAUAUUAAAUGUUAAUUUUAUUUGAUUCUUGGAAAAUUAUAUUUUUUUUAUUUGAAUAUUUAAAAACAACCAUACAGAAUUGGGUCACGAUGAUGAAAGAUUGACAACACCUGUUGUAUACUACAUAGAUCACUACUUAAAAGUUAAGAUUCUGGACGACAUAAGUUCAACCACUGAGCUUGUUGCACUUUUCCAACUAAGCAAAAACAAAUUCCACAUGGACUAAAUGCACAGUGGUUAAAUGAUAGAAAAUCAUCUGAUUUGUGGAUUUGGUAGACGGAAACUGAAAGAAGCCCGUCGUGUAUAUAUAUAUAUAUAUAUAUAUAUAUGCGUGUGUGUGUUUGUGUGUCUGUGUUUAUCUCCUAGCAUUGCUUGACAACCGAUGCUGGUGUGUUUAUGUCCCCGUUACUUAGCGGUUCGGCAAAAUAGACCGAUAGAAUAAGUACUGGACUUACAAAAGAAUAAGUCCCGGGGUCGAGUUGCUCGAUUAAAGGCGGUGCUCCAGCAUGGCCGCAGUCAAAUGACUAAAACAAGUAAAAGAGAUUUAAACAGUGUGCUUUAUUUUGUUUUUGUUUUUCUUGAACAUUUUUUACAUAUAUUUUCUCAAUAAAAUUUCAGAAGCGAGACGUCGGGUUUUUAGUUAUAUUCAACAUUAAAAUCAGGCAUGUGCCAUCAGUAAUUACUCGAGUAUGCAGUUGGUGACCUUUAUGUAGCUAAACGCACAAAGAAUAAGCAAAACACAUAUGCACACCUGAGUUGAAGGCAGAUUUACUUUUACUUUUGUAGCAUAUAAAGAAAACAGUGUUGUAGGAGUGUACGCAGCAUGUAUACUACAGCAGUACUAUGUGUAGCUUAAAUACUGAGAUUGAAAAGCAGGGGCAAAUUAUCUACAAGAAAAUAAAAUAUUUUGCAUUUUAUGUAUAGUGAUGUAUAGUAAUUUUCAUAAUUGCCUACCUAGGUAGCUCAUCCCUGGUUAAAAUGAAUUUAUUUUAUUGAAAAAUAUUACAUUAAAAUUUUGUUGCAUCAGUAAUAUCAAUACAACUGCUUGUUGUCAUUACAGGUUUAGUAGUAUAUUCCCCAGUCUUCAUGCAGCUGAAAAAAAGCGGGAACAAGCUUUGGAGGUUUGUACUGUACUGUUAUUUAUUUUUAUAUGCUUUAUUCUGUUUAGAAUCUCUUUGAAUCUAAAUACUUACCUGGAGAAGGAGAUGUAUCAUAAAGUAACUGAUAGCAUAUUUUUGAAACACUAAAAUUUCUUACAUUCAGAAGCCUAAAACUCAGUUGGUUAUGUCGUAUCAAUGUCUUACUGAUUAAAACAUCAAUAGCUUCUGGAAUUUGGUUAAAUUAGGAAGAAGAGGAAUCUGAUGUUUCAACACUAUCUCAUUGUCUGCGAAAGAAAAUGAUAGUUUCUAGACUUCAAAUUCUUCUUUACCCCACCCUUCCUUAUAAACUUAGCAAAACUUAUAAAUUUCACUGUAUAUUUUUUACCAACUUAUAGAUGUGGAUGUGGGAAAAUUUUUGCUUCCCAACCACAUGGGUUCAGGUUCAAUCCCUUUGCAUGACACCUUGGGCAAAUGUGAAUAGAUUUGGUAGAAAGAAACUGAAAGAAGUUUUUCAUAUAUAUAUAUAUAUAUAUAUAUAUAUAUAUAUAUAUAUAUAUAUAUAUAUAUAUAUGCAUGUGUAUGUGUUACUGUCUCCUUGCUUUGACUUCAUAUGAUUGUUAGGAUUCUUUCAGAUUCCAUCAACCAAAUUCACUUGCAAGACUUUGGUCAGCCCAGCUGACCAAUGGUGUCACACAGUUGGACUGAACCCAAAACCAUGUGAUUGGGAAGCAAACUUCUCAACCACAACCAUACUUGUGCCUAUUCAAGAUUAGAAUUAUAUUUUCACUAAUUUUGUCCAGAGGGCUGUGGCUACACUAGGCCAUUGGUUGAAGUAAUCUCUUAUCAUCUGUGAACUUUGUUCUUUAUAUCUAAAUCCCAUUAUCAAUGAUUUCACUGAUUAAUGAUUCUGUUUGCUUCAGGAAUACAAAAGGUGUGAAGCUAAGGUCAAAAAGUACCAAGAACGUGAACGUACUGGAAACAAUAUUGUUAAGCUAAAUCAGGUAUUGUUCACUUGUUAUCUUUGCAAUGUUUUUAUUAUAAUUACCACCAUAUCUUUACGUAAUUGACAAAAAUGACAAAAUUGUUAAUCUUGAAGAAAAUACUUUGCAGCUUGUUUCAAUGCUUUAUGUUGUGAGUUCAUGUCACACCAAUGUUAAUUUUGCUUUCCAUCUUUCCAGAGUUGAUAAAAUAAAGUACUUGUCUUGAGUGGUAGGUUAACUGAAUUGUUAGUGUUGAGCAAAAUACCUUGUGGUAUUUGUUCUGGAUCAUUAUGUUCCAAGUGCUCAGGCAGGUGUGAUCAACUUGUUUGUAGCUUGCAUUUUAUAAAAAAAUAUCUGAAGAAAGGUAACAGCAAACAGUCUUCCUAUUCUCUCAUGAUAAUUCCAUGAAUGAUACAUGGUGUUUUAUCAAGGAAAACACCAUGUGUCAUUCUGCUAAAGGCACCUACCUCUAACCCAGGGACUGAGGGUAAGACCAUCUGGUUUCUUUCGAUCACUUCUGGGUAAUCCCGCUGGCUCCAGAACUGAGGGAAUAUUAAUCCAAGCCAAGGCCCGCUUAACGAUUAGGCUUAGCUUGGUGUGACCUUCUAGUAGAAGGAAGGAUCUAGUUAAUAUAUCUGAAAUACAGCAAGUAUCUCGACUCAGCAGUGGUUUCAAAUAUUCACAGCCCUAACCUCAUUUUCUCCUAUAUGUUCAAUACUGUUAAAAACAUACGAACAAAUGGUAUAAACUUGUGUUUAUCACAGUUUAUCCUACAUAUACUCCCUGUAUAUCAUAAGUAGUAAUACUAUUAAAUAUAGUAGCAACUAAACCACUAUACUGGAAGAAGACUGGAUGAUGAUAAUCUACAUGGAGCUCUAAACUCAACAGUAGGAAUUAUACAUCCAUUUGCACACACACUGGGCAUCUUUCAGUUUCUGUCAACUAAAUUCACUCACAAGGUUCUGGUUGGCCUGAGGGUAUAGCAGAAGACUCUUGUUCCACACAAUGGUACUGAAUCAGGGACCACACAUUUAAGGAGCAAGCUUCUUAAUCACACUGUCAUACCUGCAAAAAAUAACACUUUCGGUUGAAGAGUCCAUUUGUCAUAGAGUUAAUAAACUGCAUAUGAAUCUUACAUAGCUUCCUUCUGUUUCUGUUAAAUAUUUCUCUCUCACUGUUACCUUUGUUUCUCUGUUGAACUAACAGAUUCCACUCUGAUCUAUGGUUGAAAGAAUAUCUGUUUACUUUAGUCUCCCUAUUGAACUAACAGAUUCCAUUCUACUUCAUUGGUGGGAGAAUAGCUGUAAGAAUUUAUCUAUAUAAACAAUAGUGUACAAAGUCUACACUUUCAAAACUAUUCCUUUUAUGUCAGCAUAAGAAAAUGGAUAAAAGAUAGAAAAAAAAUAUUGUUUAGAAAGCUAUUGGACUCUGAACCUCAGGAGAGGUAAAAGAUUUCAAAUCUACAUUUGGGUUGUUUGUUUAGUCCCUGACAGCUGUGAUCAAGCAAACAUAUGAUUCAAAGGCUUUCUGUCUUAUUUUCAUGUAUGGUUUAUCCACCACUACAUUAUCCAGCGUGUCUUUUCUUCUUGCAAGACAGAAGCUGAUUUCAAGGACCUUUUAAGUGCUAUAUCUAGCCAGAUUACCUAGCAACUAGUCUUAAGCUAGUGUUCAUCAAUUAUGUUAACAAACAUCAAUUGUACCUUAAUCAAAGAUGCCAAUUUCUUUUUAUCUUUAUACACUCUGUAUGUACUUUGUCUUUUAAAUGAGUGAUUAUUUUGUGUUCUUUUGUUUGUUUGUUUUUUUGUAAAAUUCUAUCAGAGCCAGAAAUCCUUGACGCCAGCCAAAGAAGAGUUCUAUGAACUACACACAAUCUUAAUGGAAGAUAUGCCUAAACUAUAUGAUCUCCGAAUUAGUUACUAUCAACCAUGUAUUGAAGCAUUAAUCAAAUCUCAGGUUGGUUUCAUACUUUAUAAGAUUUUACACACAUGCAUACGCACGCACGCGCGUACACACACACACACACUAUUGUAUCCUAGCAACCAAGAUUUUUUUCUUAUUUGGUGAGGCUGGAGUCAAGUAAUGCAAUUCGAAGUCAAGUUAUUUGUACCUCAUUGUUGUCAUUAUAACAUUGAAUUUUCUGUACUUGCAUCAGUCAGAUGAGAGAUUUUGGGGCAGUUUUUUAGAGCUACAUGACCUUCCUCUCAACAAUCCCCACAUGUUUCCAAGCAAGGUAAUAUUUCUCCAUGUUCAGACAUGUUUUCACGGUAAAGUAAUUGAAUAGCAUUGCUUGUGUGACAGUGAUAAUUCUUUACAGCUAUCAUCUAAUCCCAAGACUAGGAGAAGCAAACAUACACACACACACACACACACACACACACACACACACACAAGUGUAUAUACACAAUGGUCUUCUUUCAGCUCCCUCAUAUUACAACCUCUCACAAAACUUUAAUCAUCCAAGGUUAUUGCAUGAAUCACUUGCCUGUAGUGCCAUGCAGUGGGACUGAACCCAGAACCAUAUGAUUGGAAAGCAAACGUUUUAACCACACUGCCAUCAUCAUCAUUUAAUGUCCAUUUUCUAUGCUGGCAUGGGUUGAAUGGUUUGACUGAAAUUGGUAAGCUCUAGGGCUAUACCAGGUUCCAGUCUGAUCUACAGCUGGAUGUCCUUCCUAAUGCCAACCAUUCCAACAGUGUAGUGGGUGCUUUUUAUGUGCCAAUGGCUUGGGUACUAGUCUCCUUAGUCGUGAUUGGGUAAAGAAGUGAGUACUGAUGUUAUAAGAAGUGGAGGAUAUUUAAUUAGGAUAAAUCUGUCAUUGCUUAAAGAAAUCAAUAAUGAAGGUUUUAAUCAUUGACUUUUUUUUUCUUUUUUCUUUACAGGUUGCCUACAACUCUGAAUGUUACAAAAUCUAUAGUGAGUUAGCUGGUCAUCUUGCUCCAGAGACAUACACUAGUGAAGAAUAUGGCAACAGAAUACAACAGAAACUUUCAGAUAUAAAGACAUUGUCCAUAGUUGACUGAUUAAUUACUUCAUAUUAAUUAAUAUUAAAUCAAAAAGAGAUUUUAUAUGAGGGAAAAAAAUCAAAUACCUUUUUAUAUAAUGAAUGAAGUUUAUUCAUAUGAAAUCCACUGAAGAAAUCCAUUUUAAACAUUGGACUACUUUAAAUUUGGCAAACUACUAACUAUUGGAGUGACUCUAUAACAAAGAUUGUUGUACACAGUCAUUGGAAUAUUUUGUUGUUUCAUAAAUGUCAUCACAUUACUUUUAUCAUGAAAUUUCAUCCUGUGAAAUAUGAUACUGUAUUGUAGCGUAUGACUAAUUUAUGUGAAAUAUAUACCUCCGAUUGUGCCCCACAUGUGCCAGAUUGUGUAAUGCAUGCCCUAGAUUGUGAGAUGCAUGUCUCAGAUUGUUACUCAUGUGCUAAAUUGUGUAAUGCAUGUCCCAGAUUGUUACAUAUAUGCCAGAUUGCAAUUCAUGCUCCUUAUUGUGUGAUGCAUGCCCUUGAUUGUAAGAUGCAUAUCCUAGGUUGUAAAUGAAUGCCCUAGAGUGUGUGAUGAGAGUCCCAGAUUGUGGAGCACAUACCCCAGAUGCUGAAAUAUGUAUCCCAGAUUAUGAGAUGCAUGUCCCAGAUUGCGAAAUGCAGGUUCCAAGAUUGUAAAAUAUGUAUUCAUUGAUGAGAAAAAUAAAAUACUGACAUGUUAUCAGUGAUGGAUUUAUCUUGUAGUAAUUGCAGCACAUGUUGCAGGUCCUACUUUUUUAAGGAUUCAGAACUAAAUCUUUUAUUACUAUAGUACUAUACUGCCUUCAGCCUUUAUUAACCACUGGGUGUUUUAGGUUGAUCCAAUACUCACAAUACUUCCAAGAUCCCAAACAACUUUAAAUUAAACACAUUACAGAAGUCAAAUUAAAAGGCAAUUGU
This 24189-nucleotide long non-coding RNA is filed under the name Octopus vulgaris (common octopus). The record is from RNAcentral. Lineage: Eukaryota; Metazoa; Mollusca; Cephalopoda; Octopoda; Octopodidae.